AUUGAACGCUGGCGGCAUGCUUUACACAUGCAAGUCGAACGGCAGCGCGGGCUUCGGCCUGGCGGCGAGUGGCGAACGGGUGAGUAAUGCAUCGGAACGUGCCCAGUAGUGGGGGAUAGCCCGGCGAAAGCCGGAUUAAUACCGCAUACGACCUGAGGGUGAAAGCGGGGGACCGAAAGGCCUCGCGCUAUUGGAGCGGCCGAUGUCGGAUUAGCUAGUUGGUGGGGUAAAGGCUUACCAAGGCGACGAUCCGUAGCUGGUCUGAGAGGACGACCAGCCACACUGGGACUGAGACACGGCCCAGACUCCUACGGGAGGCAGCAGUGGGGAAUUUUGGAUAAUGGGGGCAACCCUGAUCCAGCCAUGCCGCGUGCGGGAAGAAGGCCUUCGGGUUGUAAACCGCUUUUGUUCGGGAAGAAAUCCUCUGGGCUAAUACCCCGGGGGGAUGACGGUACCGGAAGAAUAAGCACCGGCUAACUACGUG
This 484-nucleotide ribosomal RNA is filed under the name uncultured bacterium. Its description in RNAcentral is "partial 16S ribosomal RNA". It matches the Rfam family "Bacterial small subunit ribosomal RNA", at positions 28 to 507 of the family's 1533-position model. The record is from RNAcentral.